CGCGGGGGCAACCCUGGCGGCGAGCGGCGAACGGGUGAGUAAUGCAUCGGAACGUGUCCUCUUGUGGGGGAUAACCAGUCGAAAGACUGGCUAAUACCGCAUGAGCUCGAGAGAGGAAAGCAGGGGAUCCGCAAGGACCUUGCGCGAGAGGAGCGGCCGAUGCCCGAUUAGCUAGUUGGUGGGGUAACGGCCUACCAAGGCGACGAUCGGUAGCUGGUCUGAGAGGACGACCAGCCACACUGGGACUGAGACACGGCCCAGACUCCUACGGGAGGCAGCAGUGGGGAAUUUUGGACAAUGGGGGCAACCCUGAUCCAGCCAUGCCGCGUGUGUGAAGAAGGCCUUCGGG
This 349-nucleotide ribosomal RNA is filed under the name uncultured bacterium. Its description in RNAcentral is "bacterial SSU rRNA". It matches the Rfam family "Bacterial small subunit ribosomal RNA", at positions 72 to 422 of the family's 1533-position model. The record is from RNAcentral.